UGGGGAAUAUUGCGCAAUGGGCGGAAGCCUGACGCAGCAACGCCGCGUGCGGGAUGACGGCCUUCGGGUUGUAAACCGCUUUCAGCNGGGACGAAGCGUGAGUGACGGUACCUGCAGAAGAAGCACCGGCCAACUACGUGCCAGCAGCCGCGGUGAUACGUAGGGUGCGAGCGUUGUCCGGAAUUAUUGGGCGUAAAGAGCUCGUAGGUGGUUGAUCGCGUCGAAGUGAAAUCUCAGGGCUUAACCCUGAGCGUGCUUCGAUACGGGUCGACUNGAGGAAGGUAGGGGUAGAAUGGAAUUCCUGGUGGAGCGGUGGAAUGCGCAGAUAUCAGGAGGAACACCAGUGGCGAAGGCGGUUCUCUGGACC
RNAcentral lists this ribosomal RNA (367 nucleotides) under uncultured bacterium. Its description in RNAcentral is "partial 16S ribosomal RNA". It matches the Rfam family "Bacterial small subunit ribosomal RNA", at positions 355 to 735 of the family's 1533-position model. The record is from RNAcentral.